This is a long non-coding RNA of Hemiscyllium ocellatum (epaulette shark), 169 nucleotides long. RefSeq lists it as uncharacterized. The transcript has 3 exons. NCBI's taxonomy places the organism in Eukaryota, Metazoa, Chordata, Chondrichthyes, Orectolobiformes, Hemiscylliidae. The record is from RefSeq and is a predicted model, not a curated record.
UCACAGACAGAGCCCCCCCGGGUAUGGGGAAUCUGGAAGGUGGGUCACAGACAGAGCCCCCCCGAGGGUGGGGAAUCUGGAAGAGGAUUGAAAAUGUAGCUAAUUAAUUCCGCCGGAAUGAAUUCACUGGGAAUGAGCUCUGGAGAUAAGGGAAGAAGCAGAGCCAGUA